AACUUUUGGCAACGGAUCACUUGGCUCUCGCAUCGUUGAAGAACGCAGCGAAAUGCGAUAAGUAAUGUGAAUUGCAGAAUUCAGUGAAUCAGCGAAUCUUUGAACGAACCUUGCGCCCUUUGGCUAUUCCGAGGGGCAUGCCUGUUUGAGUAUCAUGAACACCUCAUCUCUCAUGGUCUGCCGUGAUGAGCUUGGACUUUGGGGGUCUUGCCGGCCCAGCGUCGGCUCCUCUAAAAUGGAUCAGCUUGCCAGGGUUUGGUGGCGUCACAGGUGUGAUAACUAUCUACGCUUGUGGUUCCCCGCCAUGUAACCUUUAGCGAUGGAGGCUCACUGGAGCUCACAGACGUCUCUCUUCGGUGAGGACAGCUCUUUGAACGUUUGAUCUCAAAUCAGGUAGGACUACCCGCUGAACUUAAGCAUAUCAAUAAGCGGAGGCU
This 437-nucleotide unclassified non-coding RNA is filed under the name uncultured Thelephoraceae. RNAcentral's name for it is "sequence contains ITS2". The stretch from base 1 to 155 matches the Rfam family "5.8S ribosomal RNA". The record is from RNAcentral. Lineage: Eukaryota; Fungi; Basidiomycota; Agaricomycetes; Thelephorales; Thelephoraceae.